CGGAUGGAGAGGGAUUCGAACCCCCGGUAUUCCUAUCAAUACUUCGGUUUUCAAGACCGACUCUUUCAACCGCUCAGACAUCCAUCC
Molecule: transfer RNA, 87 nt
Filed under: Triticum aestivum (bread wheat)
Lineage: Eukaryota; Viridiplantae; Streptophyta; Magnoliopsida; Poales; Poaceae
Also listed under: 3 other names
Description: tRNA-Ser
Source: RNAcentral